GAGGGUAUAGCUCAGUGGUAGAGUGUGUGCUUAGCAUGCACAAGAUUCUGGAUUCAGUCCCCAGUACUUCCA
This is a transfer RNA of Camelus ferus (Wild Bactrian camel), 72 nucleotides long. It matches the Rfam family "tRNA". From Rfam's summary of the family: Transfer RNA (tRNA) molecules are approximately 80 nucleotides in length. Their secondary structure includes four short double-helical elements and three loops (D, anti-codon, and T loops). NCBI's taxonomy places the organism in Eukaryota, Metazoa, Chordata, Mammalia, Artiodactyla, Camelidae. The record is from Rfam.